RNAcentral lists this long non-coding RNA (442 nucleotides) under Physcomitrium patens. Its description in RNAcentral is "long non-coding RNA (PPAT_LNC014660)". The record is from RNAcentral. Lineage: Eukaryota; Viridiplantae; Streptophyta; Bryopsida; Funariales; Funariaceae.
UGGUACCCAUACUGUCCAUUUCUCACUUCCUUCGCAUCUGACACAAUAGUGAUUACUAAAUAUCCUUGCAGCCGCCUCUAUGCCUUAUACCAUAAUUAGGUCCCUCCUGAGUCCAUUCGAAGUCCCCUCCCCUCAAAUAAAAUAAAACCCGUCUUGAGUUUUAGGUAUUAUAUAAUCGUAAACGAUUCCCAUUAAUGCGGGUAUUGAAACAAUGGCCUGUGAAAACCUCCAAUUGAACAGAUCCAUUGGAAAAUCCUUCAAUUAUGCGAUAUGGCCCAUGCCAGCGAACUUGAAAUUUUCCCGGAAAAUGAUUGAAUCGGCUGUCAUACAGCAAUACCAAAUCAUAGGGCAUAAAAUACUUCGGCCGCAGUUUACUAUCAUAGUAACUCUUCCUCCAUUUUUGAGUGGCUUCCAUGUGGAAUAGAGCGACAGCCCGUAUUUC